UAGGGAAUCUUCCACAAUGGACGCAAGUCUGAUGGAGCAACGCCGCGUGAGUGAAGAAGGUCUUCGGAUCGUAAAGCUCUGUUGUUGGUGAAGAAGGAUAGAGGCAGUAACUGGUCUUUAUUUGACGGUAAUCAACCAGAAAGUCACGGCUAACUACGUGUCAG
RNAcentral lists this ribosomal RNA (164 nucleotides) under uncultured bacterium. Its description in RNAcentral is "partial 16S rRNA". It matches the Rfam family "Bacterial small subunit ribosomal RNA", at positions 355 to 511 of the family's 1533-position model. The record is from RNAcentral.